UGCUUUUUCGGCAGCACAUAGCGGUGUACUAAACCUGGAAUGACACAGAGAAGUUUAGCUGGCUCCUGUGCAAGACUGACACAUGAAUUUAUAAAGUGUUCCAUAGUUUU
Small nuclear RNA from Rhinolophus ferrumequinum (greater horseshoe bat), 110 nucleotides. The record is from Ensembl. Lineage: Eukaryota; Metazoa; Chordata; Mammalia; Chiroptera; Rhinolophidae.